RNAcentral lists this long non-coding RNA (2594 nucleotides) under Nicotiana tabacum (common tobacco). Its description in RNAcentral is "long non-coding RNA (NTAB_LNC002899)". Lineage: Eukaryota; Viridiplantae; Streptophyta; Magnoliopsida; Solanales; Solanaceae. The record is from RNAcentral.
UGGAAUGAAAAUUCUUUUACAACAAUUUGUCUAAUGGGUAUAACCUCCCAAAACUUUUUAAGAUAUUUUAGCCCUUGAGGUUUGAGAUUCUACAUGCCAGAUAAGUGUUUUAUUUUUACCCACACGUUCUUUACUCCAUCUGAAUGGUAAAUGUGUUGCGGAAGACACAAACAACAAAAAGUUAAAUGAGAAAAUUAGCCCCAUAUAUCUUCUUGGAAAGACAAAAGCCAAUUUCUUCCUCUUAAUUGUACUCUCUUCUUCUGUCCGUUAAGCUUUUUACCCUUGAUGCCCUUAAAUUGAUAUCAUUAAAUUACUCUUUCUCACACCUUUUUGUGUCCCCAAGUUUUACAAUGCUUCAGCGUAAGUUAAGGCUUCAGCAUAGUGUUAUGACCUUUUAAAUUCUUAUACGUUAAGGCCUUUCUAUCUUUUUGGAGUGGUUAUGGAUCCUUUUCAAUGGGAAGAGAUCUUUUAAAAAGUUUCUUCCGAAAUGGUUAUGUAUACUGCUAUUCUGUAUUUCUUAUUUCAUGUUCUUUUAUAUCCUAAAUUAUUAUCUUAAUUUUUUUUCCUUGCAGUUUUUCUAUUGGUCAUUGUAGUCGUGACCUCAUCUUAAACAAAAGGCUAAAGAUGGUGAUUCGGAUGUUACUAAGACAUACAUCUUCUCAAAUGGUCAUGAAGCUGCUCCUCGAAAAGUAAUGUCUUCAACACUUGCUCACUUUACCCGUACUCAUGAACUUCUGCAAUUAGUAUAUAUCUUUUAUUUUUCUAUUGUGUUUUUUUAUAUGUAUUUGGGACCUUUUCCAACUAUAAAUGCUAAAAAUUAUAUUAAAUGUUAUUUCUCUUUCCUAUUUUUGUUUCAUGUUUACAUUGAUUAUAGUUGAAAAUAUAGUGCUUUUGAUCUUCGUUUGAAGCUUUUUCUGUUAGUUUAUGGAGUUUCUUUGUCCCUUCAAUUCUUUGGUUUAUAAUUGUUCGUAUUUAUUGACUUUAAGUUUGUUGGUUUUCGCAAGUUGGUUGGUGUAUGAAUUUACUAGAUUUGGAUUGUUUUGUUUUUUACAGAUAUUAUUAAAGUUGUUUCUCACGUGAAUUUUUCUAAGUCUAUUAUGACAAAUGGUAAUUGUAAUUGCAUGAGUCACUAGAGUAACUUGCUUCUUCUUUCUCCUCCUUUUUGAUUUCUCUCCUCUUAUUUCUUCCUUUGAUCUUCAAGUAGUAUAGUUUCUGUCUGUAAAAAAUAUAAUUCUGAAUGAUACAUAAUUUAUAAGAAAAAACCAUUGAAUGUUUCCUUGCUGUGAAUUUGGUCAAAUGUUUUUGUAAUUUGGAAAGGAAAAAAAAUUCUCUCUUUUGUUAUAAAUGCAAGUGGAAAAUAAUGUAUGAAGAAUUUAACUAUGUUUGUCAUGCACUUUUCGACCAAUUAUACUCCUUUAAUAGUCCAUUGAUAAUAUAAUUUUGAUUUUUGUGAAAAAUGUGAUCUAUAUUUUUGUAAUGAAAUAAUAACUACGGGGUGAAAAAAGAAGUAAGGAAUAAAAUUGAAAGAAGAGGGAAAAAGGAAAAGAAGAAUCAUUUGGGAAAGAAAAACAGACUCAUCCAGGGAAGUGCAUUGGUCUUCUCAGGUUCCUUCAGAUCUAGCAUUUUACUUUUCUUGAUGACAAUAGUAGCCAUUUGAAAUUAUUAGUAGAGUUUUCAAGAAAUUAUCAUUGAUACUCAUGGAAACUUAGGAUCUUUUAUUAGUAGAGUUUUCAAGAAAUUAUCAUUGAUACUCAUGGAAACUUAGGAUCUUUCUCCCAUAUUGAGUUUAGUUGUUGACUAUGAAAUUUUUGUAUAUGAUAUAUGCAUGGAAUUUAAUUAAAUUUUGUGAAUACUUUCAUAUUGUCCAUUUAGUUCUUCAAUUGAUUUUUGAAUAAUGAGUUUUUUUCCAUGAAUAACAUGUGUAUGAACUAAUGCUAAUUCCUGGAGUUUUAUUGAUUUCUUAACCCAAAAAGAAAUUAUGUUUUCUUUUUAUCAAUUCCUAUGUUGUCGACUCAUUGUCAUUUUAUUUUCCUUUUUAAUUGUUUUUUAGUAGCGAAAAAACAUACUUAGUCCUAAUUAAACAAAAAUUUAUCUCUAUCAAGACAUGAUUUAUAAGGUCAUUCUAAAUUCCCUAUUAUAUCGUGCGAAGCACGAACACAUUCACUAGUUAUUUUCUAAUUACAUGGUGCUUCUCAAGAGUUAAAAGCCCUCACUAUAUUAGUCUCCAAGACCUGCAAAAUAUUUCUACAAGUGUUAAAAGAAUGAAUAUUAACCACAAAUUGUAUGCCACCAAGUUCCAGAUGAUCCCUAGCAAGUCAUAAACAUGGAAGAUAUGAAUUAUACAGUGAGUGAGCUGUGCGCUCAUCAACCUGUCAGAUAGAGAUGCUGUUGGGAAUACCACGACAGGUAACACCCGGACCAGAAGUAGGUAGCAGCAGUUCAUAUGGAGGAAUGCCAGCACCACUUCGGUUUUUAAGACGAUUAUCCUUGUUUCUUUGGUUGAUGGUGUGUUCUACCUCCUCUAAUUUGGCACAGAAUCUUUCAGAAAUCCUCAAAACUUCAUGAUCAUUUACGGAGAAUCUUUGAAGUUCGUG